RNAcentral lists this long non-coding RNA (1271 nucleotides) under Chrysemys picta bellii (western painted turtle). RNAcentral describes it as "lncRNA (ENSCPBG00000024209.1)". Lineage: Eukaryota; Metazoa; Chordata; Testudines; Emydidae. The record is from RNAcentral.
UUACUGAUACCCAGCCAGCUUACGUGGUGCAUCGUGAAUGGGUCCUGUUUCUCCUCACAGGGACAGGAAGCAUUUUCCUGUUGGCUCUUCAAACAGCAACAGUCAGGGAGAUCCUUCAAAGGGCGGCAAGAGGAAAAUCCAGCCUGCACCCAGAGAGACAGUUCACAAGACUGUCUCCUUCUCAGCCCAGAAUUUACCUGCCAUAUCAGUGGCAGUCAAGGAGAAACGCUCUUCAUCCAGCGAGGAGAAGGAGGAGGAAGAGGAGGAUUUUGCUCCUCAUGGAAGGCAGCCCCCAACUGCAGAGCCAAAACCCAGAGUCUUCAAGACAGCUCUGGAUACAACAAUUCCUACGGUGGCACUGAUAGGACAGAAGAGUGCUCGAUCUAAAUACGGCUUCAAGCACAUGGCUUACCUACCUACCACUACUGACAUGCAGCUUAGGAGAUACUGUCCUGCUAGAUGAUGCAUUGAUUAAUAGGUGACACAGGAAACUUGCACAUGGGUUCUUAAAUACAUGCCAUGCUGCUCCAGUGAAUGUGCUGCCACUUGGCUUAUUUCAGCAAGGGGAGAAGAGUCAAUAAUGGGGGGGGGGGGCUACCCGCAAGGCACAUGUGCUACCCGCAAGGCUGUUAUUUAUCACUUGAGAACUCCACAAAGAGCAAAGUCAGGACACUGUAGGAAAGAUAAUUGUAGAGUGGCCUUUGGUGGCUCCAGUUCCCACCCUUCCAGUCAGGAGGCCCAUGGUGAAGGCUAAGAGUAAGGUCUGCUGGUGAUGUGUUCCUCAUCUGACGACAGUAGAGUUACUGGGCAGGAGAGAAGGUCUCUAUAACUGAGAUGAAUGACGACAAAGGUCAGAAAUGGAAGGGAUUGCUCCCACUGAGCCCACGAAGGCACUUCCCAAAUGUCUCUUACUCUACUCGUGUACAAUGGUCCCUGUUAACUUACCAGUCCAUAGACAAAAACAUUACUGAUCAUUUCUCCCUGUCCCCCACCACAGGAAUACAGUGGAGAGGCCCCUUGCAUGAUAAUGGUACAGAACCAAGCCUUUGUUUUCCUGGAAAAGAUCCCAUAGCCAUUUGCAGAAGUGGCUUCUAAAUCGGUGACCAGUUUCUGUGCAGAUCAGGCAGACAAACCCAGUUGCCUGAUUUGCAAGCCCAAACCCCAUUUAUGCAUGAGAAUGUAGGAUUCUGCACAUACAAAGUCACAAGCACAAAUUGAGAGAGUAGUUAGGGGCCAUUUGGAGCAGGUGGUCCUAAAUACCACACACUUUU